AUACGGAGGAUGCAAGCGUUAUCCGGAUUUAUUGGGUUUAAAGGGUGCGCAGGCGGCGCGAUAAGUCAGCGGUGAAAUGUACCGGCUCAACCGGUGAGCUGCCGUUGAUACUGUCGUGCUUGAGUGCGAGCGGCGCCGGCGGAAUGUGUGAUGUAGCGGUGAAAUGCAUAGAUAUCACACAGAACACAGAUCGCGAAGGCAGCUGGCGAGGACGUUAGAGACGCGGAGGCACGAAAGCGUUGGGAUAUAACAGGAUUAGAUACCAUGGUAGUCCACGCAGUAAACGAUGAUGACUUGUUGUCUGCGACAGACAGUCGGUGACAAAGCGAAAGCGAUAAGUCAGCCACCUGGGGAGUACGAUCGCAAGGUUGAAACUCAAAUGAAUUGACGGGG
This 393-nucleotide ribosomal RNA is filed under the name uncultured bacterium. RNAcentral's name for it is "partial 16S ribosomal RNA". It matches the Rfam family "Bacterial small subunit ribosomal RNA", at positions 523 to 918 of the family's 1533-position model. The record is from RNAcentral.